This 269-nucleotide ribosomal RNA is filed under the name uncultured bacterium. RNAcentral's name for it is "partial 16S ribosomal RNA". It matches the Rfam family "Bacterial small subunit ribosomal RNA", at positions 28 to 279 of the family's 1533-position model. The record is from RNAcentral.
GACGAACGCUGGCGGCGUGCCUAAUACAUGCAAGUUGAACGCAACAAAGACACCAGAGCUUGCUCUACCGUUUUUGUUGAGUAGCGAACGGGUGAGUAACGCGUGGGUAACCUGCCUUAUAGCGGGGGAUAACUAUUGGAAACGAUAGCUAAUACCGCAUAACAAUAGAGAUUGCAUAAUCUUUAUUUGAAAGUGCCAACUGGUACACUAUGAGAUGGACCCGCGUUGUAUUAGCUAGUUGGUAGUGUAAUGGACUACCAAGGCGAUGA